ACACCCCUCAAGCUCUGCUUGGUCUUGGGCUUCGCCGCGUCGCCGGCGGGCCCUAAUUAUAGUGGCGGCGCCGUUCGGCUCCUGAGCGUAGUAGCAACACCUCGCUAUAGGGACCGGGCGGCCGCUAGCCAGCAACCCAAUCUUCCAC
RNAcentral lists this unclassified non-coding RNA (148 nucleotides) under uncultured Ascomycota. RNAcentral's name for it is "sequence contains ITS2". The record is from RNAcentral. Lineage: Eukaryota; Fungi; Ascomycota.